GGCGGCAGGCUAACACAUGCAAGUCGAGCGGAUGACAGGAGCUUGCUCCUGAAUUCAGCGGCGGACGGGUGAGUAAUGCCUAGGAAUCUGCCUGGCAGUGGGGGACAACGUUUCGAAAGGAACGCUAAUACCGCAUACGUCCUACGGGAGAAAGCAGGGGACCUUCGGGCCUUGCGCUAUCAGAUGAGCCUAGGUCGGAUUAGCUAGUUGGUGAGGUAAUGGCUCACCAAGGCGACGAUCCGUAACUGGUCUGAGAGGAUGAUCAGUCACACUGGAACUGAGACACGGUCCAGACUCCUACGGGAGGCAGCAGUGGGGAAUAUUGGACAAUGGGCGAAAGCCUGAUCCAGCCAUGCCGCGUGUGUGAAGAAGGUCUUCGGAUUGUAAAGCACUUUAAGUUGGGAGGAAGGGCAGUAAAUUAAUACUUUGCUGUUUUGACGUUACCGACAGAAUAAGCACCGGCUAACUCUGUGCCAGCAGCCGCGGUAAUACAGAGGGUGCAAGCGUUAAUCCGGAAUUACUGGGCGU
RNAcentral lists this ribosomal RNA (528 nucleotides) under uncultured Gammaproteobacteria bacterium. RNAcentral's name for it is "bacterial SSU rRNA". It matches the Rfam family "Bacterial small subunit ribosomal RNA", at positions 38 to 561 of the family's 1533-position model. Lineage: Bacteria; Pseudomonadati; Pseudomonadota; Gammaproteobacteria. The record is from RNAcentral.